This 253-nucleotide ribosomal RNA is filed under the name uncultured bacterium. RNAcentral describes it as "partial 16S ribosomal RNA". It matches the Rfam family "Bacterial small subunit ribosomal RNA", at positions 524 to 776 of the family's 1533-position model. The record is from RNAcentral.
UACGGGGGGGGCAAGCGUUGUUCGGAAUUACUGGGCGUAAAGGGCUCGUAGGUGGCCAACUAAGUCAGACGUGAAAUCCCUCGGCUUAACCGGGGAACUGCGUCUGAUACUGGAUGGCUAGAGUUUGGGAGAGGGAUGCGGAAUUCCAGGUGUAGCGGUGAAAUGCGUAGAUAUCUGGAGGAACACCGGUGGUGUAGACGGCUUUCUGGACCGUAACUGACGCUGAGACACGAAAGCGUGGGUAGCAAACAGG